AGAGUUUGAUCAUGGCUCAGGACGAACGCUGGCGGCGUGCUUAACACAUGCAAGUUGAACGAAGGUUUUGUUUUCGGACGAAACCUUAGUAGCGGACGGGUGAGUAACGCGUGAGUAACCUGCCUUUGUGAGGGGGACAACAGCUGGAAACGGCUGCUAAUACCGCAUAAGGCCACGACCCCGAUUGGGGAUGUGGUAAAAGAUUUAUCGCACAAAGAUGGACUCGCGUCCCAUUAGCUAGUUGGUGAGGUAACGGCCCACCAAGGCGACGAUGGGUAGCCGACCUGAGAGGGUGAUCGGCCACACUGGAACUGAGACACGGUCCAGACUCCUACGGGAGGCAGCAGUGGGGAAUAUUGGGCAAUGGGCGCAAGCCUGACCCAGCAACGCCGCGUGAGGGAAGAAGGCCUUCGGGUUGUAAACCUCUGUCCUUAGGGACGAAAAAAAUGACGGUACCUAAGGAGGAAGCUCCGGCUAACUACGUGCCAGCAGCCGCGGUAAUACGUAGGGAGCAAGCGUUGUCCGGAAUUACUGGGCGUAAAGGGUGCGUAGGUGGCCAAGCAAGUCAGAUGUGAAAUCCCCGGGCUUAACUCGGGUGCUGCAUUUGAAACUGCGUGGCUUGAGUGCAGGAGAGGAAAGCGGAAUUCCUAGUGUAGCGGUGAAAUGCGUAGAUAUUAGG
This 679-nucleotide ribosomal RNA is filed under the name uncultured Christensenella sp. RNAcentral's name for it is "bacterial SSU rRNA". It matches the Rfam family "Bacterial small subunit ribosomal RNA", at positions 8 to 701 of the family's 1533-position model. The record is from RNAcentral. Lineage: Bacteria; Bacillati; Bacillota; Clostridia; Christensenellales; Christensenellaceae.